This is a long non-coding RNA of Tetranychus urticae (two-spotted spider mite), 1682 nucleotides long. RefSeq lists it as uncharacterized. NCBI's taxonomy places the organism in Eukaryota, Metazoa, Arthropoda, Arachnida, Trombidiformes, Tetranychidae. The record is from RefSeq and is a predicted model, not a curated record.
UAACAAAACUGGUUUUUUAUAUUUGUUUUAUGCUUUUGUCAAGCCUAUUGUAAUAAAUUCAUCGUUCAACGGCUAUGCCUUUUACGGCUAUCUUUUGGCUUGAUUCUGGUUUUUAUUUUUUUUGUGUCAUUAUUUAAUUCAACCUUUUAUUCAGUUAUUAUCCUCAUGACCAGGGAAUCCAAUUAAAGUCUAGAUAAUUGAUUUCAACAAUUGAUUUGCCAUUAUAAAUAGUCUACUUUCAGUGUAAACAAAAAUGGCUGUUAACGCUGUUUUUGUGUGCCUUGGCUGUUUGUAAAGGCAAGAGUUACAAAAAAACAUAUGGUGCUAGCUAAAUAUUAGCUCAUCAAAGGAUUAACUUUAUUUGUUCUUUUCAUGCUUUUAUCCUGUGUUUCAUCUGAUUCAAUGUUCAACCAGAUAAUUCCCUGUUGUACAUGAUAAUUGAUCUUUUGGUAUUAACAUGGAAUCCUGAUUAAUAAAUCAGCUAUAAUUUGGAUGGACCAGAAACCAUGGUUUUAAUUACCAAUGCUGCUUUGUAACGCCUUCAGUCAUGUAUAUUUUCAUGACAUUUACACUUACCCAGGGAAGCAAUUCUCAGAGAGUGACGACUUUGGAACCCAGCCUGUAUUACUUUCUAAUAUAAUGUUCCAAUAUUGAUUAUCGAUUCAAGCUUUACGUCAUUUACUGUUAUCAUAUUAAUAAAUCAUCACUUUGUUGAUUCGAAGUAAUCAUCAACAACAACCUGAUCAUAAUCAGUUUGACAUUCAACUCCAGGUUAACUCAAAAGUCUUCCGGAUUUCAAUCAUAACAAUUUAACCAAUAACCAAAUAGUCAACAGAAUGAUGGAUCAAUUUAACCCAAGCAAUACAAGUAAACUUGAAGCAAGCAAACCAACCUCAAGCCAAAGCCACUUUGAUGUUGCAAAGUCAAAACUUACUAUUUAAUAGGAAUUAGCGUUUUUGUCAGACAAAAGUGUAGGUGGAUUAAAUGGCUGGUUAACUUAAUCACCAUUUAAACAGUUAAUCAGUUAAAUAUUUUUCUUUAAAAAAUGAUCCUUUUAUACUCAUAACUACCCAAGAAUCAUCAUCAUUCACAAUAAACCAUUUUUUAACCUUUUUUCAAGUGUACAAAAGACUUGCACCUUAAAAAAAGGUUAAAUUCAGCUUAAUCAUCAUUAAUAUUAUCAUUAUUAUUAAAUUAAUAGUUUCUGUUUACAUUUUCAAUCAUUAAUGAUUAAUUCUUGAUUGAUUUUUGGUUUAAAUGAGAUUAGCUAAUUGAUUAAAUUGUACCUUAAAGCCUCUUCUCUGGCCUUCCUGGAGUCCAUCAGUUAACCAGAUAUUGUUGGGUUAUUGAAUGAUUAUCAAAUUUUAAUCAACCAUUCUCAUGAUUUGAUUUGAUCAAUUCACAAUUUUUCAACUUUAAUUUCAUUGAGGAGAGAUUAGACCAAAAGCAAGCCAUUGAAUAGCCAUUUGGAGCUAAAUUUACUUGAAAUUAAUUCCAUUGCUUGAAAAGAUUAAUGACAAUUUAAAAUGAUAAAUGAAUCGCAUCAUGUAUUUUGGUUUUGUUUUCACUAUAAUCAACAACUUGUUAAUCAGUGAUUAUUGAAAUCGCGUGGGAACCUAAUUAUGCAAUUAUAUUGGGUUGAUUUGUUCAAAUGUAUAAUAAUAUUCUGUGUUAAUUAUUCA